UACGUAGGGUCCGAGCGUUGUCCGGAAUUAUUGGGCGUAAAGAGCUCGUAGGCGGCUUGUCACGUCGGGUGUGAAAGCCCGGGGCUUAACCCCGGGUCUGCAUUCGAUACGGGCAGGCUAGAGUGUGGUAGGGGAGAUCGGAAUUCCUGGUGUAGCGGUGAAAUGCGCAGAUAUCAGGAGGAACACCGGUGGCGAAGGCGGAUCUCUGGGCCAUUACCGACGCUGAGGAGCGAAAGCGUGGGGAGCGAACAGG
RNAcentral lists this ribosomal RNA (253 nucleotides) under uncultured bacterium. RNAcentral describes it as "partial 16S ribosomal RNA". It matches the Rfam family "Bacterial small subunit ribosomal RNA", at positions 524 to 776 of the family's 1533-position model. The record is from RNAcentral.